RNAcentral lists this small nuclear RNA (19 nucleotides) under Arabidopsis thaliana (thale cress). RNAcentral describes it as "snRNA_05305". Lineage: Eukaryota; Viridiplantae; Streptophyta; Magnoliopsida; Brassicales; Brassicaceae. The record is from RNAcentral.
AGCUCAGGAGGGAUAGCGC